RNAcentral lists this ribosomal RNA (476 nucleotides) under fungal sp. S5.2.10. Its description in RNAcentral is "eukaryotic LSU rRNA". The stretch from base 123 to 276 matches the Rfam family "5.8S ribosomal RNA". The record is from RNAcentral. Lineage: Eukaryota; Fungi.
AUACCUUUGAUGUGCGUGGGGGGUUGCCGCCUUCUAGCGCCGGCUCCGGCUGGAUCGUGCCCGCCAGAGGACCUUCAAACUCUGUCGUAUAGUGUCGUCUGAGGAAACUAUCUAAUAGUUAAAACUUUCAACAACGGAUCUCUUGGCUCUGGCAUCGAUGAAGAACGCAGCGAAAUGCGAUAAGUAAUGUGAAUUGCAGAAUCUAGUGAAUCAUCGAAUCUUUGAACGCACAUUGCGCCCCUUGGUAUUCCGGGGGGCAUGCCUGUUCGAGCGUCAUUACAACCCUCCAGCUCUGCUGGGUCUUGGGCGCGACCGGCGACGGUCGGCCUCAAAAUCAGUGGCGGUGCCCGUGGGCCCUGAGCGCAGUACAUACUCAACGCUAUGGGAGCCCGCGCGGUUGCUUGCCAACAACCCCAAUUUUCUCAGGUUGACCUCGGAUCAGGUAGGGAUACCCGCUGAACUUAAGCAUAUCAAUA